Molecule: ribosomal RNA, 497 nt
Filed under: uncultured bacterium
Lineage: Bacteria
Description: partial 16S ribosomal RNA
Rfam family: Bacterial small subunit ribosomal RNA
Source: RNAcentral
GAUGAACGCUGGCGGCGUGCCUAAUACAUGCAAGUCGAGCGAACAGACGAGGAGCUUGCUCCUCUGACGUUAGCGGCGGACGGGUGAGUAACACGUGGAUAACCUACCUAUAAGACUGGGAUAACUUCGGGAAACCGGAGCUAAUACCGGAUAAUAUAUUGAACCGCAUGGUUCAAUAGUGAAAGACGGUUUUGCUGCCACUUAUAGAUGGAUCCGCGCCGCAUUAGCUAGUUGGUAAGGUAACGGCUUACCAAGGCAACGAUGCGUAGCCGACCUGAGAGGGUGAUCGGCCACACUGGAACUGAGACACGAUCCAGACUCCUACGGGAGGCAGCAGUAGGGAAUCUUCCGCAAUGGGCGAAAGCCUGACGGAGCAACGCCGCGUGAGUGAUGAAGGUCUUCGGAUCGUAAAACUCUGUUAUUAGGGAAGAACAAAUGUGUAAGUAACUAUGCACGUCUUGACGGUACCUAAUCAGAAAGCCACGGCUAACUACGUG